This 437-nucleotide unclassified non-coding RNA is filed under the name Hevea brasiliensis (rubber tree). The record is from RNAcentral. Lineage: Eukaryota; Viridiplantae; Streptophyta; Magnoliopsida; Malpighiales; Euphorbiaceae.
CAGCAUGGGAAGUUGGAGAGCAUAAGCAAUUGUUCUUUGUAGCACUUCGCUGUCUUGUAAUCUGAGGCAUAGUCGCUUGCAAUUUAGUAACAACACCAACAGAAAUGUUCUCAGUCUCUGAUGAUGAUGGAAUCUCCACUUUCAAUUUAGUCUUGUUGAUUAUAUGACCACUCUCCGUUAAUUCUUUCUGCUUUCCUUUUCUCCUGCAAAAUAAAUAAAUAAAUGAAUAGUCAAAGACAAAAUAAUAAUUAGCAGGAAGUCUGCAAAAGAAGCAAAAGAUUGAAUAUUGUGACCUAUAGAAGAAUCCUGAAAGCCCCCGGAAUUCUAAAAUGGACUUGGUGAUGAGGGAGUCUUUACUUUGGUGAGUGAAAUAAAGAAAGAUAUAUAGAGACAGAAAGAGAUGGAAUUAUAUGUGUAGAGAAAAGAUAAGAAAGGUG